This 254-nucleotide ribosomal RNA is filed under the name uncultured bacterium. RNAcentral describes it as "partial 16S ribosomal RNA". It matches the Rfam family "Bacterial small subunit ribosomal RNA", at positions 524 to 777 of the family's 1533-position model. The record is from RNAcentral.
UACGGAGGGUGCAAGCGUUAUCCGGAUUUACUGGGUUUAAAGGGUGCGUAGGCGGACUUUUAAGUCAGGGGUGAAAUCCCGGGGCUCAACCCCGGAACUGCCUUUGAUACUAUUGGUCUUGAAUGUUGUGGAGGUGGGCGGAACGGGUCAUGUAGCGGUGAAAUGCAUAGAUAUGACCCGGAACACCGAUUGCGAAGGCAGCCCGCUACGCAACGAUUGACGCUGAGGCACGAAAGCGUGGGGAUCAAACAGGG